This 222-nucleotide long non-coding RNA is filed under the name Capsicum annuum. RNAcentral's name for it is "long non-coding RNA (CANN_LNC019201)". The record is from RNAcentral. Lineage: Eukaryota; Viridiplantae; Streptophyta; Magnoliopsida; Solanales; Solanaceae.
UUUCAUAUAUUUUUUCAUCUAUUAUAAAUUCUUCUUUGUUCAUUUUAUUGUGAAUAGUUCAUGUUGAUAUAUAUAUUCUAAGCUAUCUAUUUGUGAUUCUAAUUUUGAUAUUUCAUCCUUUUGUGUAUUUAUUGAAUUUUUACUAACUCCGGCAAAUAUAUUAUAAUUUAGUCUUUCUAUUCUUAUUUUUAAUUCUUUACGUUUUUCAGAGAUAAUUUGUUU